UGUUAAAAUUUUUAUCAAUUUGUACUGUUAAAAAUUGAUGUGCCUGAUUGAAUAACCAGACCGUGACACGUUGUGUGUCAUGUAUACGCCAUGUCAAUGCACAGAGAUCAGUUUUUAAUAGUAAAAAUGGACAAAUUUUUUAACA
Non-coding RNA from Gossypium raimondii (Peruvian cotton), 145 nucleotides. The record is from Rfam. NCBI's taxonomy places the organism in Eukaryota, Viridiplantae, Streptophyta, Magnoliopsida, Malvales, Malvaceae.